AUCUAAUAUGGUAUUCUGGUCGUUUAUGCAGCUAAAGAAAAUGUGCAAGGAGGGCGCAUAUUGGGGUGCUGUUGCUGGAGUGUAUGUAGGCAUGGAGUAUGGAGUGGAAAGGGUCCGCGGAGAGUAUGACUGG
Molecule: long non-coding RNA, 133 nt
Organism: Triticum dicoccoides
Lineage: Eukaryota; Viridiplantae; Streptophyta; Magnoliopsida; Poales; Poaceae
Exons: 2
Source: RefSeq, a predicted model, not a curated record